UGGUUUGGCACCUCGAUGUCGGCUCGUCGCAUCCUGGGGCUGGAGUCGGUCCCAAGGGUUGGGCUGUUCGCCCAUUAAAGCGGUACGCGAGCUGGGUUUAGAACGUCGUGAGACAGUUCGGUCCCUAUCCGCUGUGCGCGUAGGAGUCUUGAGAAGGGCUGUCCCUAGUACGAGAGGACCGGGACGGACGAACCUCUGGUGUGCCAGUUGUUCUGCCAAGGGCAUGGCUGGUUGGCUACGUUCGGGAGGGAUAACCGCUGAAAGCAUCUAAGCGGGAAGCCUGCUUCGAGAUGAGGACUCCCACCUCCUAGAGAGGGUAAGGCUCCCAGUAGACGACUGGGUUGAUAGGCCAGAUAUGGAAGCCGGGUAACCGGUGGAGUUGACUGGUACUAAUAGGCCGAGGGCUUGUCCUCAGUUG
This 418-nucleotide ribosomal RNA is filed under the name Streptomyces rochei. RNAcentral's name for it is "partial 23S ribosomal RNA". It matches the Rfam family "Bacterial large subunit ribosomal RNA", at positions 2514 to 2925 of the family's 2925-position model. Lineage: Bacteria; Bacillati; Actinomycetota; Actinomycetes; Kitasatosporales; Streptomycetaceae. The record is from RNAcentral.